UACAGAGACCUCAAGCGUUAUCCGGAUUUAUUGGGCGUAAAGCGUCAGUAGGUGGGACAGCGGGUUGGGAGUUAAAACUUCGCGCUCAACGCGAAGAUUGCUUUCAAAACUACUGUUCUUGAGGAUGGGAGAGGUAAGCGGAAUUGCUGGUGUAGUCGUAAUAAGCGUUGAUAUCAGCAAGAACACCAAAUGCGAAGGCAGCUUACUGGAACAUUCCUGACACUGAAUGACUAAAGCGUGGGGAGCAAACAGG
Molecule: ribosomal RNA, 253 nt
Filed under: uncultured bacterium
Lineage: Bacteria
Description: partial 16S ribosomal RNA
Rfam family: Bacterial small subunit ribosomal RNA
Source: RNAcentral